RNAcentral lists this ribosomal RNA (483 nucleotides) under uncultured bacterium. Its description in RNAcentral is "partial 16S ribosomal RNA". It matches the Rfam family "Bacterial small subunit ribosomal RNA", at positions 30 to 507 of the family's 1533-position model. The record is from RNAcentral.
AUUGAACGCUGGCGGCAGGCCUAACACAUGCAAGUCGAGCGGAUGAAGGGAGCUUGCUCCUGGAUUCAGCGGCGGACGGGUGAGUAAUGCCUAGGAAUCUGCCUGGGAGUGGGGGAUAACGUCCGGAAACGGGCGCUAAUACCGCAUACGUCCUGAGGGAGAAAGUGGGGGAUCUUCGGACCUCACGCUAUCAGAUGAGCCUAGGUCGGAUUAGCUAGUUGGUGGGGUAAAGGCCUACCAAGGCGACGAUCCGUAACUGGUCUGAGGGGAUGAUCAGUCACAGUGGAAAUAGGACACGGUCCAAACUCCUACGGGAGGCAGCGGUGGGGAAAAUUGGACAAGGGCGAAAGCCUGAUCCAGCCAUGCCGCGUGUGUGAAGAAGGUCUUCGGAUUGUAAAGCACUUUAAGUUGGGAGGAAGGGCAGUAAGUUAAUACCUUGCUGUUUUGACGUUACCAACAGAAUAAGCACCGGCUAACUUCGUG